CAAUUAUACGAGGCGUGGCUAUUAAAUAACGAGACUACUCGCUUAGAGGGCACCCUAGAUGGGUAGUGAAAAAAAGGAGUAAUGCGAGUAAUAGAAUAAUUUUUAUAAUAAAACACUUUUUCGUAGCCAGUCUCGUUAUUUAAUAGCCACAUCCCGUAUAUGU
Non-coding RNA from Cinara cedri, 163 nucleotides. The record is from the annotation of a GenBank genome assembly. NCBI's taxonomy places the organism in Eukaryota, Metazoa, Arthropoda, Insecta, Hemiptera, Aphididae.